CCUACGGGUGGCAGCAGUGAGGAAUAUUGGUCAAUGGACGCAAGCCUGAACCAGCCAAGUAGCGUGAAGGAUGACUGCCCUACGGGUUGUAAACUUCUUUUAUAAAGGAAUAAAGUGAGGCACGUGUGCCUUUCUGAAUGUACUUUAUGAAUAAGGAUCGGCUAACUCCGUGCCAGCAGCCGCGGUAAUACGGAGGAUUCGAGCGUUAUCCGGAUUUAUUGGGUUUAAAGGGUGCGUAGAUGGGUUGUUAAGUCAGUUGUGAAAGUUCGCGGCUCAACCGUAAAAUUGCAAUUGAUACUGGCAGUCUUGAGUGCAGUUGCGGUAGGCGGAAUGCGUGGUGUAGCGGUGAAAUGCUUAGAGAUCACGAAGAACUCCGAUUGCGAAGGCAGCUUACUAAGCUGCCACUGACAUUGAUGCUCGAAAGUGUGGGUAUCAAACAGGAUUAGAUACCCCAGUAGUC
Molecule: ribosomal RNA, 460 nt
Filed under: uncultured bacterium
Lineage: Bacteria
Description: partial 16S ribosomal RNA
Rfam family: Bacterial small subunit ribosomal RNA
Source: RNAcentral